GCCGCCUAAACGCCGAGGCCCCGAUCGCGGGACGAGGCGUGCCGGGGACCCAGGUAGUCCCGGGGUGAAGCCGCUCCUUUCCGGGCGGCCGGGCAGCUUCCCGCCCGAACCCGUCAGCUAACCCGGUCGGCGGUUUCGAUGGGAAGA
This 147-nucleotide small RNA is filed under the name Actinoplanes missouriensis. RNAcentral's name for it is "c-di-AMP sequence". It matches the Rfam family "c-di-AMP riboswitch aptamer (ydaO/yuaA leader)". From Rfam's summary of the family: This family represents a conserved RNA structure found upstream of the ydaO and yuaA genes in Bacillus subtilis and related genes in other bacteria. The ydaO/yuaA element is thought to act as a genetic "off" switch for the ydaO and yuaA genes in its native state. RNAcentral also lists the same sequence under 1 other name. Lineage: Bacteria; Bacillati; Actinomycetota; Actinomycetes; Micromonosporales; Micromonosporaceae. The record is from RNAcentral.